This 419-nucleotide ribosomal RNA is filed under the name Pontibacillus sp. enrichment culture clone TTGE_BC_3.1. RNAcentral describes it as "bacterial SSU rRNA". It matches the Rfam family "Bacterial small subunit ribosomal RNA", at positions 976 to 1395 of the family's 1533-position model. Lineage: Bacteria; Bacillati; Bacillota; Bacilli; Caryophanales; Bacillaceae. The record is from RNAcentral.
AGGCUCUUGACAUCUUCCGCUAUCCCUAGAGAUAGGGAGUUCCCUUCGGGGACGGAAUGACAGGUGGUGCAUGGUUGUCGUCAGCUCGUGUCGUGAGAUGUUGGGUUAAGUCCCGCAACGAGCGCAACCCCUAAUCUUAGUUGCCAGCAUUCAGUUGGGCACUCUAAGGUGACUGCCGGUGACAAACCGGAGGAAGGCGGGGAUGACGUCAAAUCAUCAUGCCCCUUAUGACCUGGGCUACACACGUGCUACAAUGGAUGGUACAGAGGGCAGCGAGACCGCGAGGUCAAGCAAAUCUCAAAAAACCAUUCUCAGUUCGGAUUGCAGGCUGCAACUCGCCUGUAUGAAGCCGGAAUCGCUAGUAAUCGCAGGUCAGCAUACUGCGGUGAAUACGUUCCCGGGUCUUGUACACACCGAAA